UCGAGGGGCAGCAUCAUCAAAGCUUGCUUUGAUGGAUGGCGACCGGCGCACGGGUGAGUAACACGUAUCCAACCUGCCGACAACACUGGGAUAGCCUUUCGAAAGAAAGAUUAAUACCGGAUGGUAUAGUUUUCCCGCAUGGGAUGAUUAUUAAAGAAUUUCGGUUGUCGAUGGGGAUGCGUUCCAUUAGGCAGUUGGCGGGGUAACGGCCCACCAAACCUACGAUGGAUAGGGGUUCUGAGAGGAAGGUCCCCCACAUUGGAACUGAGACACGGUCCAAACUCCUACGGGAGGCAGCAGUGAGGAAUAUUGGUCAAUGGACGAGAGUCUGAACCAGCCAAGUAGCGUGAAGGAUGACUGCCCUAUGGGUUGUAAACUUCUUUUAUACGGGAAUAAAGUGAGCCACGUGUGGCUUUUUGUAUGUACCGUAUGAAUAAGGAUCGGCUAACUCCGUGCCAGCAGCCGCGGUAAUACGGAGGAUCCGAGCGUUAUCCGGAUUUAUUGGGUUUAAAGGGAGCGUAGGCGGGUUGUUAAGUCAGUUGUGAAAGUUUGCGGCUCAACCGUAAAAUUGCAGUUGAUACUGGCGACCUUGAGUGCAACAGAGGUAGGCGGAAUUCGUGGUGUAGCGGUGAAAUGCUUAGAUAUCACGAAGAACUCCGAUUGCGAAGGCAGCUUACUGGAUUGUAACUGACGCUGAUGCUCGAAAGUGUGGGUAUCAAACAGGAUUAGAUACCCUGGUAGUCCACACAGUAAACGAUGAAUACUCGCUGUUGGCGAUAUACAGUCAGCGGCCAAGCGAAAGCA
This 804-nucleotide ribosomal RNA is filed under the name uncultured bacterium. Its description in RNAcentral is "bacterial SSU rRNA". It matches the Rfam family "Bacterial small subunit ribosomal RNA", at positions 62 to 859 of the family's 1533-position model. The record is from RNAcentral.